CGUCUUCUGGUCAACAGCGGCUCACCUGGCCUCAGAAGUGCGAUCUGAGCUCCGCUUUGGGCCGCGUUUUUUUGAGGCCUUUCUGCCAUAAUAUACUGUCCUCCAGAGGCCCAGAAACAGUGCCAUAUGACCAUGGACUGAAACCUAUGAGACUAUAAUUAGACAUUACACAAAAUCGAGAGGUGCUGGAAAAAUGAAAGUUUGAAAAGAGGAUUGGAGGAUAAAAAACAUAGUCAAUCCUGGAAGCCAAGCACACAGCCCCAAGAUGGGACCACUAAGGGUCUUGCUAAAUUGCCCAGACUGGCUUCAAACUUGCCUUCCUCUUGCUGCAGCCUCCCAAGUAGGAUUUCAGGUUCCUGUGACAAGGACAGAGUCUUUGCAGAUAUAAUCAAGUUAAAAUGAGGUCAUCAGAUUGGGCCUACAAUUCAAUAUGACUAAUGUUCAUAUAAGAAGAAGGAAAUUUGGACACAGACACAUAGAGAACACUAUGUGACAACAGAGGCAAGGACUGGAAUGAAGCAGGUAAUCCAAGGAAUUCCAGGGAUAUACAACCACCACCAGAAACUAGGAAGAGACUCUUGAUUUGUGACUCUACUGAUACCUUGAAUUUAGACCCUGCCCCCCAGAACUAUGACAGAAUAAAUUUCUCUUAUUUUAAACCA
Long non-coding RNA from Marmota monax (woodchuck), 662 nucleotides. RefSeq lists it as uncharacterized. The transcript is spliced from 5 exons. Lineage: Eukaryota; Metazoa; Chordata; Mammalia; Rodentia; Sciuridae. The record is from RefSeq and is a predicted model, not a curated record.